AGAUCACCUGAGUAGAGAUGGGAAAUCGAAACUAGUGGGGAAGGGGAGGGCCCACUGAGAACCAUCCCAGCAACCCGACCACAGCUGGCCUUCCCUGGACAGCAUGAACCACACUGUCCAAACCUUCUUCACUCCUGCCAACACCGACCGUACCCCCAACUAUGAGAUGCUGAAGGAGGAGCAUGAGGUGGCUGUGCUGGGGGCACCCCAUAACCCUGCUCCCCCGA
This is a long non-coding RNA of Sapajus apella (tufted capuchin), 227 nucleotides long. RefSeq lists it as uncharacterized. NCBI's taxonomy places the organism in Eukaryota, Metazoa, Chordata, Mammalia, Primates, Cebidae. The record is from RefSeq and is a predicted model, not a curated record. The transcript has 3 exons.